AGUGAACGCUGGCGGCAGGCCUAACACAUGCAAGUCGAACGGCAACACAGUAAGAGUUUCCUCUUACGGGUGUCGAGUGGCGGACGGGUGAGGCAUAUAUCGGAAUCUACUUUUUCGUGGGGGAAAACGUAGGGAAACUUACGCAAAUACCGCAAAUGACCAACGGGUGAAAGAAGGGGAUUUUCGGACCUUGCGCGAUUCAAUGAUCCGAUGUCGGAGUAGCUAGUGGGCGGGGUAAAGGCCCACAAAGGCAACGAUCCAGAGCGGAUCUGAGAGGGUGAUAGGCCACACUGGAACUGAGACACGGACCAGACUAAGACGGGAGGAAGCAGGAGGGAAUAGUGCGCAAUGGGAGGAAGUAUGACGGAGCAAUGCCGAGUGAGUGAAGAAGGUAUUCGGAUCGUAAAAUUCUGUUGUAAGGGAAGAAGAAAGAAGAUAGUACAUAGACGUGCAUUGACGGGACCUGAAGAGAAAGCAACGGCUAACUACGUG
This 492-nucleotide ribosomal RNA is filed under the name uncultured bacterium. Its description in RNAcentral is "partial 16S ribosomal RNA". It matches the Rfam family "Bacterial small subunit ribosomal RNA", at positions 29 to 507 of the family's 1533-position model. The record is from RNAcentral.